AUACCUUUCUCGGCCUUUUGGCUAAGAUCAAGUGUAGUAUCUGUUCUUAUCAGUUUAAUAUCUGAUAUGUGGUCUAUCGGGCCACACGAUAUUAACUCUAUUUUUUAAGGGAGAAAGCCCGUUAAGAUAGCUUGCUAUCUGGGCUUUCACGAGUCGCCCAUGCGUUGCACUACUGCAUGGGCCUGGCUCAGCCCAC
Arabis alpina (gray rockcress) is the source of this 196-nucleotide non-coding RNA. The record is from Rfam. NCBI's taxonomy places the organism in Eukaryota, Viridiplantae, Streptophyta, Magnoliopsida, Brassicales, Brassicaceae.